GCGACCCCAGGUCAGGCGGGACUACCCGCUGAAUUUAAGCAUAUCAAUAAGC
RNAcentral lists this ribosomal RNA (52 nucleotides) under Zieria whitei. RNAcentral describes it as "partial 26S ribosomal RNA". Lineage: Eukaryota; Viridiplantae; Streptophyta; Magnoliopsida; Sapindales; Rutaceae. The record is from RNAcentral.